This 462-nucleotide ribosomal RNA is filed under the name Bacillus safensis. Its description in RNAcentral is "bacterial SSU rRNA". It matches the Rfam family "Bacterial small subunit ribosomal RNA", at positions 891 to 1353 of the family's 1533-position model. Lineage: Bacteria; Bacillati; Bacillota; Bacilli; Caryophanales; Bacillaceae. The record is from RNAcentral.
AGACUGAAACUCAAAGGAAUUGACGGGGGCCCGCACAAGCGGUGGAGCAUGUGGUUUAAUUCGAAGCAACGCGAAGAACCUUACCAGGUCUUGACAUCCUCUGACAACCCUAGAGAUAGGGCUUUCCCUUUCGGGGACAGAGGGACAGGUGGUGCAUGGUUGUCGUCAGCUCGUGUCGUGAGAUGUUGGGUUAAGUCCCGCAACGAGCGCAACCCUUGAUCUUAGUUGCCAGCAUUCAGUUGGGCACUCUAAGGUGACUGCCGGUGACAAACCGGAGGAAGGUGGGGAUGACGUCAAAUCAUCAUGCCCCUUAUGACCUGGGCUACACACGUGCUACAAUGGACAGAACAAAGGGCUGCAAGACCGCAAGGUUUAGCCAAUCCCAUAAAUCUGUUCUCAGUUCGGAUCGCAGUCUGCAACUCGACUGCGUGAAGCUGGAAUCGCUAGUAAUCGCGGAUCAGC